This 440-nucleotide ribosomal RNA is filed under the name uncultured bacterium. Its description in RNAcentral is "bacterial SSU rRNA". It matches the Rfam family "Bacterial small subunit ribosomal RNA", at positions 340 to 773 of the family's 1533-position model. The record is from RNAcentral.
UACGGAAGGCAGCAGUGGGGAAUAUUGCACAAUGGGCGCAAGCUUGAUGCAGCCAUGCCGCGUGUAUGAAGAAGGCCUUCGGGUUGUAAAGUACUUUCAGUCGUGAGGAAGGUGUUAAGGUUAAUAACCUUAGCAAUUGACGUUAGCGACAGAAGAAGCACCGGCUAACUCCGUGCCAGCAGCCGCGGUAAUACGGAGGGUGCGAGCGUUAAUCGGAAUUACUGGGCGUAAAGGGCACGCAGGCGGUUAAUUAAGUUGGAUGUGAAAUCCCCGGGCUUAACCUGGGAAUGGCAUUCAAGACUGGUUAGCUAGAGUCUUGUAGAGGGGGUAGAAUUCCGAUGUGUAGCGGUGAAAUGCGUAGAGAUGUGGAGGAAUACCGGUGGCGAAGGCGGCCCCUGGACAAAGACUGACGCUCAUGUGCGAAAGCGUGGGGAGCAAAC